CAGUAGCCGCGGUAAUACGUAGGGUGCAAGCGUUGUCCGGAAUUAUUGGGCGUAAAGAGCUCGUAGGCGGUUUGUCGCGUCUGCUGUGAAAUCCCGAGGCUCAACCUCGGGCUUGCAGUGGGUACGGGCAGACUAGAGUGCGGUAGGGGAGAUUGGAAUUCCUGGUGUAGCGGUGGAAUGCGCAGAUAUCAGGAGGAACACCGAUGGCGAAGGCAGAUCUCUGGGCCGUAACUGACGCUGAGGAGCGAAAGCGUGGGGAGCGAACAGGAUUAGAUACCCCGGUAGUCCCUGUCUCUUAUAC
Molecule: ribosomal RNA, 301 nt
Filed under: uncultured bacterium
Lineage: Bacteria
Description: partial 16S ribosomal RNA
Rfam family: Bacterial small subunit ribosomal RNA
Source: RNAcentral